AUCAGCCCAUAUCACCAUUUAUUUUUCAGAGACCAAAGAAAAUGACAGAAGUUUCCCUAUUCUUUCAUGUACCUUUCUACCAGAAUACUCUCUAUUUACAAGCACCACACAGACUAUUUCCUCUUGGCGGGAGGUUGGACACAGCAAUCCUCGCCGCGAGCUGCAGAAGAACCACACACGCACAUACGUCAGGCCAGGAGACACGAACACGGGCGCCAUGAGGGGGGAACGGACCGGACCGGAAAAUGAGCAGGCAGGAAAAUGAACAGAGGUUUGUGGACUACCUCUUCACGCCACGCCAUAUCCUCAUCCCUAGCGCUUGGCCUACAUUGUGCCGUCUACAUAUCUAUCUCCUUUGACUACCUCUUCCCGCAACGCCUUGUGCAUACCUUGUCCUACACCGGUUGGUAGUCUCACCCUUGCAUUGUGCAGCUAUAGCUGUCCAGCUAACAAAUGGAAGGAACCAAUUUCAUCAGCUUGAGAAGGCCUGCUGCAGGUGACAAUAAUUCAUACUUAUUAACACCAUGGUGUGAAAUUUUAUCACAAAAGCAAAUAGGUGGAAGCAUAAGGAAGCAAUUCAACAACUUUUGCAGAGGCACUCAUGGGAUAAAAUCCAAAACAUCAAAAUUAGUCUGUUAUGUUUUUGGGAGAUAUAUAGGACUCAAGAAACUGAGAAACAUCAAAAGUAGUCUGUUAUUCAAAUACAGAACUCUAGAUAUUACACAUUCACUUAAGGCGUCACUGAUUGAGAACAGUUUUUGGAUCUCUCACCAGCUAGUAUGCAGGGUUCGUACGCCAAGUGAUACUGAUGAUUACAACCAAUCAACCUAAUAGCUAACACAUGAAUAAUUAUAUUAAAUCAUACUGGUUAAUAUCACCAAUUCAGGAUAGUACACGACAUGACAGAAGUAUUCUAAAUACCAGACAAAAACAAGUGCAGCCUCUCUAAAUGUUUAUCAGAAGGCUGGUACAAAUUACAAACAAGGAAAAGCUGGUUGACAUAUAUGGCUAUCAUGCAUUUUCUGAAACAUGCUUUCAUGGUUGACCACAAUAAGUUUCAAAUGCUUUCUUCUUUCUAUUCGGGGUCAAUUGGAAGCAUUCAACAAUCAAACAAAUGCGAAAAAGGUACAUAAGCUUCAUUCCAAAUGUAAUACAUGUAUAUUGGAGCUAUAAAGAAGGCUAUAUCGUCAUUUUACAUGACUCAGGCCUCAAAACAACUUUACUUGCCAGUGUGCCAAGCAUCUAUCAGUAAUAUUUCCAAACUGCAACAGUAAACACAUCGCAAUGUGAAGCAUGGCAGUGUCAAAAUAACCAAGAUAUUAUAACAUGCUCUCAAACCUGAAAAAUGCGAUAAUAAGACUACAUAAGAGACCUAAUUGCUUAGAAUAACACUUUAGUAUCACCAUCUAAAAUAGUACGUCAUCAUAAAUGAUCUAUCCUCUCAUCAGUAGGUACUAUACCAUCUGCCAUGGCUGGAAAAGACCAUACGCAUCAUAAUCAAUCACCUGGAGGUAAUCUGCAUGCAAAUAGUCCAGACAUCUCUCUUGGUGUUGCUCGUGAUCAACACAAGAUGUACCGGG
RNAcentral lists this long non-coding RNA (1580 nucleotides) under Triticum aestivum (bread wheat). RNAcentral describes it as "long non-coding RNA (TAES_LNC017450)". Lineage: Eukaryota; Viridiplantae; Streptophyta; Magnoliopsida; Poales; Poaceae. The record is from RNAcentral.